Molecule: ribosomal RNA, 492 nt
Filed under: uncultured bacterium
Lineage: Bacteria
Description: partial 16S ribosomal RNA
Rfam family: Bacterial small subunit ribosomal RNA
Source: RNAcentral
AGUGAACGCUGGCGGUAGGCCUAACACAUGCAAGUCGAACGGCAGCACAGUAAGAGCUUGCUCUUACGGGUGGCGAGUGGCGGACGGGUGAGGAAUACAUCGGAAUCUACUUUUUCGUGGGGGAUAACGUAGGGAAACUUACGCUAAUACCGCAUACGACCUACGGGUGAAAGCAGGGGAUCUUCGGACCUUGCGCGAUUGAAUGAGCCGAUGUCGGAUUAGCUAGUUGGCGGGGUAAAGGCCCACCAAGGCGACGAUCCGUAGCUGGUCUGAGAGGAUGAUCAGCCACACUGGAACUGAGACACGGUCCAGACUCCUGCGGGAGGCAGCAGUGGGGAAUAUUGGACAAUGGGCGCAAGCCUGAUCCAGCCAUACCGCGUGGGUGAAGAAGGCCUUCGGGUUGUAAAGCCCUUUUGUUGGGAAAGAAGAGCAGCAGGUUAAUACCCCGCUGUUCUGACGGUACCCAAAGAAUAAGCACCGGCUAACUUCGUG